This 119-nucleotide non-coding RNA is filed under the name Fictibacillus enclensis. Its description in RNAcentral is "SAM-I sequence". It matches the Rfam family "SAM riboswitch aptamer (S box leader)". Rfam says of the family: The SAM riboswitch is found upstream of a number of genes which code for proteins involved in methionine or cysteine biosynthesis in Gram-positive bacteria. The SAM riboswitch acts at the level of transcription termination control. Lineage: Bacteria; Bacillati; Bacillota; Bacilli; Caryophanales; Fictibacillaceae. The record is from Rfam by way of RNAcentral.
CUCUUAUUCCGAGUAGGUGGAGGGACAGGCCCUAUGAAACCCAGCAACCGACACUUCGUGCCAAAAAAUGAAGUGAAAAGGUGCUAACCUGCAAGGUGAACAAGCCUUGAAAAUAAGAG